UACAUGUGGGGCAAGCGUUGUUCGGAAUCACUGGGCGUAAAGGGUGCGUAGGCGGGUCUUUAAGUCAGGGGUGAAAUCCUGGAGCUCAACUCCAGAACUGCCUUUGAUACUGAAGAUCUUGAGUUCGGGAGAGGUGAGUGGAACUGCGAGUGUAGAGGUGAAAUUCGUAGAUAUUCGCAAGAACACCAGUGGCGAAGGCGGCUCACUGGCCCGAUACUGACGCUGAGGCACGAAAGCGUGGGGAGCAAACAGG
RNAcentral lists this ribosomal RNA (253 nucleotides) under uncultured bacterium. RNAcentral's name for it is "partial 16S ribosomal RNA". It matches the Rfam family "Bacterial small subunit ribosomal RNA", at positions 524 to 776 of the family's 1533-position model. The record is from RNAcentral.